AAGAAAUAGGAAGUGAGAAAGU
This 22-nucleotide microRNA is filed under the name Oreochromis niloticus (Nile tilapia). Its description in RNAcentral is "oni-miR-10881". Lineage: Eukaryota; Metazoa; Chordata; Actinopteri; Cichliformes; Cichlidae. The record is from miRBase by way of RNAcentral.